GUAAUCUAAUACUUGCCUAAUUUGAUAUAGCCAAGUUCAGUUAUUUGAAUAAUAAGUGUCUACUAUAAUCAAGCCUCAAACUUGAUCAACUAAAAUUAUUCGCAAGAAAAAAAGAACACAACUACUUAGGUGACACAACCUCAAACUGGAUUUGUCAAACCUGAAGCAUAGAUCGAAGAUAAUCAAGAAAGAGAUGGAGACAAUUCCAUUUUUGGAUGUGUCUAUUUUAGUUGUUGGAACAAAGAGAACGGAUUGUUAUAGAAAGAGGAUUUUUUUGUUAUUGAGCGAAAUUAUUCUUUUGCUUGGUCAUU
RNAcentral lists this long non-coding RNA (311 nucleotides) under Solanum tuberosum (potato). Its description in RNAcentral is "long non-coding RNA (STUB_LNC000619)". Lineage: Eukaryota; Viridiplantae; Streptophyta; Magnoliopsida; Solanales; Solanaceae. The record is from RNAcentral.